RNAcentral lists this ribosomal RNA (484 nucleotides) under uncultured bacterium. RNAcentral's name for it is "partial 16S ribosomal RNA". It matches the Rfam family "Bacterial small subunit ribosomal RNA", at positions 29 to 507 of the family's 1533-position model. The record is from RNAcentral.
AUUGAACGCUGGCGGCAUGCUUUACACAUGCCAGUCGAACGGCAGCGCGGGCUUCGGCCUGGCGGCGAGUGGCGAACGGGUGUGUAAUACAUCGGAACGUGCCCAGUAGUGGGGGAUAGCUCGGCGAAAGCCGGAUUAAUACCGCAUACGACCUGAGGGUGGAAGCGGGGGAUCUUCGGACCUCGCGCUAUUGGAGCGGCCGAUGGCAGAUUAGCUAGUUGGUGGGGUAAAGGCCUACCAAGGCGACGAUCUGUAGCUGGUCUGAGAGGACGACCAGCCACACUGGGACUGAGACACGGCCCAGACUCCUACGGGAGGCAGCAGUGGGGAAUUUUGGACAAUGGGCGAAAGCCUGAUCCAGCAAUGCCGCGUGUGUGAUGAAGGCCUUCGGGUUGUAAAGCACUUUUGGCGGGAACGAAAAGGACUGUGCCAAUACCACGGUUCGAUGACGGUACCCGCAGAAUAAGCACCGGCUAACUACGUG